UGCCUCUAGUCUUCCAUCAGUUACCUAUGUGUUUCCAAACUGCUUCGUUCAAAGCUGACAGAUUGUCUUAAAUGUCAAAAUGUUAUAUGGUAUCCUUGCUCAGAAUAUGAUUUUGGCCUCCUACACAAAACCUUUGUAAUUAUGGAUUACAAAUGUUUUUGUACGGUGUUUACCUAUAACCUACUUAUACAACUUCCUUUUCCACAACUUGCCCUUUCUGUUUCAUCUGAACUAAUUUCUUUACUGAUCUCCAGCCACACUGUAGAAGUUCUUAUUUACAACUUUGGAGCAAAUACCAUCCACCUUUAGUUGUGUAAGGGGCCAAGAAAGCAGUGAUCUGUGGAUCACUCAGAUAUUAGGAAUAUCCUAAAGAGAUAGUAAUGUUAGUAUUUGAGAAGAACUCUCUUGUGUGGACUUGAGAAUGAAUUGCAGAGAGCUGAAUUAGUGAGUAUUCCAAGUAGGUCCCCUACAGUCAGCAUCAGUCCUCCUCUUGACUGACCAAUAGGUCAAGCCUGUGUGUUUCCAUUUUGGUUGGGAAGAACUUAUUUUCAGAAUUCUCAUUCCUCAAAAAAUAAACAAGAAGAGGGUCUAUCCUGAAAAUUUUCUAGGCAUUCCUGAGUAAAUCUGCAUUUACAUCAAGUGCAGAGAAUCCCUUAUUUUAUUAUACUUUAGCAUAUUUUUUCAGUAUUUUUACCCCUUUGUGUAUUCAGUCGACAGGGAAAGACCACUUAAAUGAGCCCAUAAUUGACAUCCAUAGGAAAAUCUUAGUACCAUCAACCAGCUGAACCUAGGAAGAGAUGAAACAUGGAGUUCUGGCCUCCCAUACAUAGAAAGCAAAAAAUCACAAAAGCUUACCAUGUAGAAAAUAAUAAGCCCAAUUUCUAAGUAAAGAAAUUAUCUCUUCUUUUCAGACAAAAAUUAAUGUAAGUAGAAUUCAGUUGCCUACAAACCAAUAACCAAACAAACCAACUUGGUAGAUAAUCAAUCUACCAAGUUAACAAAGAAUUUUUGCCUUUGUAAAAUGUGGUAAGAUUAAGCACAGAUGUUCUAGAAGGACCGGGAAACAUCUUCUGUUGCCAAAGAUUAGAAAAUGCUGGUAUCAUUCAGCAGUUUAUGAUGGGCAGUGUCUACUUGUUUUAUUUCUCUGGCAGAAUGGACACUUGAAUUUUAAGAACUGUUAUUGGACACCCUGAAAUAUAAACAUAUUACACAGUUCCAUAAGUAACCUUUUCACACAAAUGGAAGACAAAACAUAGUUUUAAGCUCAUUCUAUACACCUCUUUGCAAAUGUCAAUUUUUUUUGGUGAGAGUGUCGCUUUAUCUGUCGUAUAGAUAGAAUACUGUUGGUCAAAACAAAAAUAUUUUAGAAAUGCUGUAGUAUCAAAGAUCUUUCUCCCUUCUUCCCAUUCUUUCCUUCCUCUAUAAUUUUUUCUUGAUUCUUCCCUUUCACUCUCCCUCCCUUCCUUCCUUCACUUCUUACUUCCUAAAUUUCUACCCUGUUCAAGAAAGAACACAAAAAUUAUAUAUACGAUGGCCAGAUCACAUAAUUGAAAAUUCCCAGAAACAACAACAGGAAAAGAUAGAGGUGGGGUUCUUCUUAUUGGUAAGAAGUGCAGAGGAUCCUAUUUCUUCCACUGCAUUCAAAUGUAAAACCUUGACAGAUGUUUGGAGCAGCAAUGUGACUGAAAAGCAAAUAAUGAAAGAUUUGUAUUUCCUCUGAUAUGUUGCAAGAAUUAUGUUCUCUGGAAGUAACUAUCUAUUUGUUGUCUUGGUUAAAUAUUGUAAUAUUGUUUGUGUGUAUUAAUCAAGAGAAUGUAUCAGCUGC
This 1825-nucleotide long non-coding RNA is filed under the name Marmota monax (woodchuck). Lineage: Eukaryota; Metazoa; Chordata; Mammalia; Rodentia; Sciuridae. The record is from RNAcentral.